This 440-nucleotide ribosomal RNA is filed under the name uncultured bacterium. Its description in RNAcentral is "partial 16S ribosomal RNA". It matches the Rfam family "Bacterial small subunit ribosomal RNA", at positions 338 to 795 of the family's 1533-position model. The record is from RNAcentral.
CCUACGGGAGGCAGCAGUGGGGAAUAUUGCACAAUGGGGGAAACCCUGAUGCAGCGACGCCGCGUGAGCGAUGAAGGAUCUCCGUAUGGUAAGCUCUAUCAGCAGGGGAGAAAAUGACGGUACCUGACUACGAAGCCCCGGAUAACUACGUGCCAGCACCCGCGGUUAGACGGAGGCGGCAAGCGUUAUCCGGAUUUACUGGGGGUAAAGGGAGCGUAGACGGUCCUGAAAGCCAGAUGUGAAAGCGAGGGGCUCAACCCCGGGACUGCAGUUGAAACUGUAAGGCUAGAGUGUCGGAGAGGCAGGCGGAAUUCGUGGUGUAGCGGUGAAAUGCGUAGAUAUUAGGAGGAACACCAGUGGCGAAGGCGGCCUGCUGGACGAUGACUGACGUUGAGGCUCGAAAGCGUGGGGAGCAAACAGGAUUAGAUACCCCGGUAGUC